RNAcentral lists this microRNA (23 nucleotides) under Caenorhabditis elegans. The record is from RNAcentral. Lineage: Eukaryota; Metazoa; Nematoda; Chromadorea; Rhabditida; Rhabditidae.
AUCUAGAAACUCAAUAUAUGGAA